This 428-nucleotide ribosomal RNA is filed under the name uncultured bacterium. RNAcentral's name for it is "partial 16S ribosomal RNA". It matches the Rfam family "Bacterial small subunit ribosomal RNA", at positions 354 to 796 of the family's 1533-position model. The record is from RNAcentral.
GUAGGGAAUAUUGCGCAAUGGGGGAAACCCUGACGCAGCGACGCCGCGUGAGUGAUGAAGGCCUUCGGGUCGUAAAGCUCUGUUGCAGGGGAAUAAAAAAAUGAAGGUACCCUGUGAGGAAGGAUCGGCUAACUUCGUGCCAGCAGCCGCGGUAAGACGAGGGAUCCUAGCGUUGCUCGGAAUCAUUGGGCGUAAAGAGGGCGUAGUUGGCUUGGUAAGUCAGGUGUGAAAGCCCAGGGCUCAACCCUGGAAGUGCAUUUGAUACUGCUGAGCUUGAGUGUCGGAGAGGUUACCGGAAUACCUGGUGUAGUGGUGAAAUACGUAGAUAUCAGGUGGAACACCGGAGGCGAAGGCGGGUAACUGGACGAACACUGACACUGAGGCCCGAAAGCGUGGGGAUCAAACAGGAUUAGAUACCCGUGUAGUCC